AACGAACGCUGGCGGCAUGCCUAACACAUGCAAGUCGAACGAAGGCUUCGGCCUUAGUGGCGCACGGGCGCGUAACGCGUGGGAAUCUGCCCUUUGGUUCGGAAUAACAGCUGGAAACGGCUGCUAAUACCGGAUGAUGACGAAAGUCCAAAGAUUUAUCGCCAGAGGAUGAGCCCGCGUUGGAUUAGGUAGUUGGUGGGGUAAAGGCCUACCAAGCCGACGAUCCAUAGCUGGUCUGAGAGGAUGAUCAGCCACACUGGGACUGAGACACGGCCCAGACUCCUACGGGAGGCAGCAGUGGGGAAUAUUGGACAAUGGGCGCAAGCCUGAUCCAGCAAUGCCGCGUGAGUGAUGAAGGCCCUAGGGUUGUAAAGCUCUUUUACCCGGGAAGAUAAUGACUGUACCGGGAGAAUAAGCCCCGGCUAACUCCGUG
Molecule: ribosomal RNA, 433 nt
Filed under: uncultured bacterium
Lineage: Bacteria
Description: partial 16S ribosomal RNA
Rfam family: Bacterial small subunit ribosomal RNA
Source: RNAcentral